RNAcentral lists this ribosomal RNA (438 nucleotides) under uncultured bacterium. RNAcentral's name for it is "bacterial SSU rRNA". It matches the Rfam family "Bacterial small subunit ribosomal RNA", at positions 339 to 794 of the family's 1533-position model. The record is from RNAcentral.
GUACGGGAGGCAGCAGUGGGGAAUAUUGCACAAUGGGGGAAACCCUGAUGCAGCAACGCCGCGUGAGCGAUGAAGGCCUUCGGGUUGUAAAGCUCUGUCUUCGCUGACGAUAAUGACGGUAAGCGAGGAGGAAGCCACGGCUAACUACGUGCCAGCAGCCGCGGUAAUACGUAGGUGGCAAGCGUUGUCCGGAAUUACUGGGCGUAAAGGGUGCGUAGGCGGUUCAUUAAGUGGGAUGUGAAAUACCCGGGCUCAACUCGGGAACUGCAUUCCAAACUGGUGAGCUAGAGUGCAGGAGAGGAAAGUGGAAUUCCCAGUGUAGCGGUGAAAUGCGUAGAGAUUGGGAGGAACACCAGUGGCGAAGGCGACUUUCUGGACUGUAACUGACGCUGAGGCACGAAAGUGUGGGGAGCAAACAGGAUUAGAUACCCUGGUAGA